RNAcentral lists this ribosomal RNA (526 nucleotides) under uncultured cyanobacterium. RNAcentral's name for it is "bacterial SSU rRNA". It matches the Rfam family "Bacterial small subunit ribosomal RNA", at positions 115 to 655 of the family's 1533-position model. Lineage: Bacteria; Bacillati; Cyanobacteriota. The record is from RNAcentral.
GCGUGAGUAAUCUGCCGGGAAGUGGGGGAUAGCUCGCCGAAAGGCGAAUUAAUACCGCAUAUGGCAAGGAAAGACAUCUUUCCAAAGCCAAAGUCGCAAGACGCUUCCUGAUGAACUCGCGGCCUAUCAGCUUGUUGGUGAGGUAACGGCUCACCAAGGCUAUGACGGGUAGCUGGUCUGAGAGGACGACCAGCCACACUGGAACUGAGACACGGUCCAGACACCUACGGGUGGCAGCAGUCGAGAAUUUUUCACAAUGGGGGAAACCCUGAUGGAGCGACGCCGCGUGGAGGAUGAAGGUCUUCGGAUUGUAAACUCCUGUCAUGCGAGAACAAGAAAGUGAUAGUAUCGCAAGAGGAAGAGACGGCUAACUCUGUGCCAGCAGCCGCGGUAAUACAGAGGUCUCAAGCGUUGUUCGGAUUCAUUGGGCGUAAAGGGUGCGUAGGUGGCGUGGAAAGUUGAGUGUGAAAUCCUAGGGCUUAACCUUAGAACUGCACUCAAUACUCCCAUGCUAGAGGAAUGUAGA